GAUUGCCUAGUAACUGCGAGUGAAGAGGGAAAAGCUCAAAUUUAAAAUCUGGCAGUCUUCCGCUGUCCGAGUUGUAAUUUAGAGAAGUGUUACCCUUGCUGGACCGUGUACAAGUUUCCUGGAACGGAACGUCAUAGAGGGUGAGAAUCCCGUCUUUGAGACGGACUCCCAGCAUUUUGUGGUACGCUCUCGAAGAGUCGUGUUGUUUGGGAAUGCACCACUAAAUGGGUGGUAAAUUCCAUCUAAAGCUAAAUAUUGACGAGAGACCGAUAGCAAACAAGUACCGUGAGGGAAAGAUGAAAAGAACUUUGGAAAGAGAGUUAAACAGUACGUGAAAUUGUUGAGAAGGAAACGCUUGAAG
Molecule: ribosomal RNA, 361 nt
Filed under: Oudemansiella gloriosa
Lineage: Eukaryota; Fungi; Basidiomycota; Agaricomycetes; Agaricales; Physalacriaceae
Description: eukaryotic LSU rRNA
Rfam family: Eukaryotic large subunit ribosomal RNA
Source: RNAcentral